This 276-nucleotide signal recognition particle RNA is filed under the name Strigops habroptila (Kakapo). RNAcentral describes it as "Metazoan signal recognition particle RNA (ENSSHBG00005000667.1)". The stretch from base 44 to 251 matches the Rfam family "Metazoan signal recognition particle RNA", at positions 67 to 275 of the family's 299-position model. Rfam says of the family: The signal recognition particle (SRP) is a universally conserved ribonucleoprotein. It is involved in the co-translational targeting of proteins to membranes. The record is from RNAcentral. Lineage: Eukaryota; Metazoa; Chordata; Aves; Psittaciformes; Psittacidae.
GAUGCGGAAAAGGAAGAAGUAACGUCUUGAUCCCGGACCUCAACCCAGGAGUUCUGGGCUGCAUUGCGCUAUGCCAAGCAGGCGUCCCCGCUAAGGCCAGCAUCAAUAUGGUGAGCCCUGAGGAGCCAGGGCACACCAGGUUGACUAAGGAGGGGUGAACCGGCGCAGGUCAGAGAUGGAGCAGGUCAAAGCUCCUGUGCCGGUCAGUAGCACAAUCACGCCUGUGAAUAGCCACCGCAGCAUAACCUGGGCAACACAGUGAGACGUGGGUUCCUU